This 478-nucleotide ribosomal RNA is filed under the name uncultured bacterium. RNAcentral's name for it is "partial 16S ribosomal RNA". It matches the Rfam family "Bacterial small subunit ribosomal RNA", at positions 28 to 507 of the family's 1533-position model. The record is from RNAcentral.
GAUGAACGCUGGCGGCGUGCUUAACACAUGCAAGUCGAACGAGAAAUGUAGACGGAAACCUUCGGGCGGAAGCCUUCAUUUCGAGUGGCGGACGGGUGAGUAACGCGUGGGUAACCUGCCUCAUACAGGGGGAUAACAGUUGGAAACGACUGUUAAUACCGCAUAAGACCACAGCAUCGCAUGAUGCGGGGGUAAAAACUCCGGUGGUAUGAGAUGGACCCGCGUUCGAUUAGCCAGUUGGCGGGGUAACGGCCCACCAAAGCGACGAUCGAUAGCCGAUCUGAGAGGAUGACCGGCCACAUUGGGACUGAGACACGGCCCAAACUCCUACGGGAGGCAGCAGUGGGGAAUAUUGCACAAUGGGGGAAACCCUGAUGCAGCGACGCCGCGUGAGUGAAGAAGUACUUCGGUAUGUAAAGCUCUAUUAGCAGGGAAGAAAAUGACGGUACCUGAGUAAGAAGCCCCGGCUAACUACGUG